AUACUGAAGGUGCCAGAAGAUCAAGGUCAUGGAGCUGCUAGUAUCUUAAACAAGUAGAUAAAAAUCUGGAGGAUUUAAAUAAUCCAGGUGGUCAGAAAUGCAGUGCCAAUUAUAAUUCAAACUCAGCUUAGGAGGCAGCUUCUCUUCCUUGGAAUACCCUGUUAGACAACACAGGCUGUGUAGAGGUUGUCUAUGGCAGCCCUGUGCUGAAGAUUACAUACCUAGAAACAGUUCAAGGAAAGGCAGUCUUUGAUGUUUGACCUUCAUCUGUGUCUUGGAUUGUGGUAACUUUCAAAGAAGACAGGCUUCUAGGAAACAUGAAACCUGAAGGAUUUCUCUGUCACAGAGCACCUCUGGCCUGUAAUGAUUUAGUUUACCUCCUGAACUUAUAGAAGACCAUCUAAACACCACAUUCUCCUUUAUCCAAUUCAGAGGCAGUUUUGGAUUACAGAAAGUCAAGUCAGUAGAGUCAGGCUUGCAGGUCCAUCUCUGGAUGAUGUCGGGGAUAGACCGUAUUCCUUCAUUGUAGAUCAGAAUGAGGACAAGCAAAGGAACACUCAGAGCCUGUAUGUUUGCAGGUUGAUUCUGCACUGCAACAAUAGAAACUCUGGUUCCCAGGAGAGCAGCAAAGUGAAAUGGUUGAUUACACUUCUCAAAGUUUGACCUUGGUUUUAUAUAUAAAGUUUUCAUGUGUGCAAACAAAUGAAAGAAAUAAGCACAUAUACAUAUAUACAUGCUUGUUUAUCCACAGUAAACACCUGGAAUGGCACAGACCCAGUGCUUUUGAGGACAAGGGGUUUGCUGCAGAAAGAUCUAAUUUUUAUUUAAUACCAACAUGCCCUUGUAGGAAAUGU
RNAcentral lists this long non-coding RNA (854 nucleotides) under Mus spretus (western wild mouse). Its description in RNAcentral is "lncRNA (ENSMSPG00010002170.1)". The record is from RNAcentral. Lineage: Eukaryota; Metazoa; Chordata; Mammalia; Rodentia; Muridae.